Molecule: long non-coding RNA, 319 nt
Organism: Oryzias melastigma (Indian medaka)
Lineage: Eukaryota; Metazoa; Chordata; Actinopteri; Beloniformes; Adrianichthyidae
Exons: 3
Source: RefSeq, a predicted model, not a curated record
CUCUAAACAGCUGUUGGACAUGUUUUGACAUGUGUGGGCGUGGCUUCAUUCUCCAACGUCAGAUUUAGUGACGGUAUUUAAAAUCUGCGUGAAAAACGAAAGUACUUUCUAAAUCAGCGAUGGCGACUGCUUGCAGUUCUUUUGAUGAAGAUUCAAAUGGGAGUGAUGAACUGUCCUUCAGUGACCAGCACUCAAGUGACAGUGAUGCCAGCACUCAGGGUCAAAACACAGAACCCUGCAAAUAUUACAAUAAAGGCCACUGCAAGAAUGGGAAAGCCUGCUCUUACUUGCAUAUCUGCAAGUAUUUUGUGAAAGGAAA